This 283-nucleotide ribosomal RNA is filed under the name uncultured bacterium. RNAcentral's name for it is "partial 16S ribosomal RNA". The stretch from base 43 to 283 matches the Rfam family "Bacterial small subunit ribosomal RNA", at positions 560 to 794 of the family's 1533-position model. The record is from RNAcentral.
GACGUAGGGGCGAGCGUUCGUACCGGGAAUUACUCGGGACGGGUAAAGGGCGGCGUAGGCGGCCGUUCAAGUCAGGUGUAAAAUACCCCGGGCUCAACCCCGGGGAGUAGCACUUGGAACUGGGCGGCUAGAGGGCAGGAGAGGGGAGUGGAAUUCCCGGUGUAGCGGUGAAAUGCGUAGGAUAUCGGGAGGAAUACCAGUGGCGAAGGCGACUCUCUGGACUGACCCUGGGCGCUGAGGCGCGAAAGCGUGGGGAGCAAACAGGAUUAGAUACCCCGGUAGU